GUGCUCGCUUCAGCAGCACAUAUACUAAAAUUGGAACGAUACAGAAAAGAUUAGCAUGGCCCCUGUGCAAGGAUGAUAUGCAAAUUCAUGACGCAUUCCAUAUUUUU
RNAcentral lists this small nuclear RNA (107 nucleotides) under Capra hircus (goat). The record is from RNAcentral. Lineage: Eukaryota; Metazoa; Chordata; Mammalia; Artiodactyla; Bovidae.